AUUUCCCAGUCGAAUGAACUAGGGAACAUAAAGUAGGCAUCUGUAGUGGAUAUCUACUUGGUGAAUAUGUUUUGUAAAUCCUGUCCACCCCGUGGAUGGGUAGUCGGCAAAACGUCGGACUGUCAUAAGAAUUGAAACGCUGGCACACUGUUGGGUCCUGAGGCAACACGUUGUGUUGUCACCCUGCUUGGUGGUGGGGUGUGGACUUUGACUUC
Molecule: unclassified non-coding RNA, 215 nt
Filed under: Mycobacteroides abscessus
Lineage: Bacteria; Bacillati; Actinomycetota; Actinomycetes; Mycobacteriales; Mycobacteriaceae
Also listed under: 1 other name
Description: partial 16S-23S ribosomal RNA intergenic spacer
Source: RNAcentral